GUUUGAACACAUCUGUAGCCUCUCUACAUGGACGCACCAUUGAGCACCAAUAAUGAACGGAAUGACGAAGACAGUGCAUCAUCUCUAAGACAUCGCCUUCUUCUUCGGCUACUAAAUCAACUGUCAAGAUGGCCGCCUGUGUGCACGCUCUCCUCCUGGUCCUCUUGUUUGUAGCGCUCACCCACGGGAAAGCCGUGAAACCAGCUAAGCCAGUAACGGUCGACCCCAGCUGUAAGAUAGUGUGUCCAGCUAUCCACAACACCGUGUGUGGCAGCGACCACAACACCUACGCCAACCUGUGCGAGUUGAGCAACGCUAGGUGUGACAACCCCCGGCUCAGGAUGGUUCGUCAGGGCAAGUGUAGGCCCAAGAAAACUGGAACGAAAAAGAAUGGGCCCAAAGUUUGAUGGAUGUGCAGAUGUUGCUGGUGAUGUUGUGUAGUAUCAUCCUGCUGUUGUUUAUCAACCCCAUGAUGUUAUAUUCAGCUUUGUUACAGUAAGACUUUGGCUGGAAAUGAAUUUUAAUGUUCCCGUUUUUUAACUAAGUUGUUUUACAUUAUUAACUUUAAAAUGAAUCAUUUAAACAUUAACAUAUUUUAAAACGUUAAAAGCUUAACAUGCAUAACAAUGUAAGUCAUGAUAUGAAAAAUAGUCCAUCAUUUGUAUUUUUAAAUGUAAAUUUCAGCCUGCAAUAAAUUUACGC
Long non-coding RNA from Physella acuta, 702 nucleotides. RefSeq lists it as uncharacterized. The record is from RefSeq and is a predicted model, not a curated record. NCBI's taxonomy places the organism in Eukaryota, Metazoa, Mollusca, Gastropoda, Physidae.